UACGUAGGGGGCAAGCGUUAUCCGGAUUUACUGGGUGUAAAGGGAGCGUAGACGGCAUGGCAAGCCAGAUGUGAAAUACCGGGGCUCAACCCCGGGACUGCAUUUGGAACUGUUAAGCUGGAGUGUCGGAGAGGCAGGCGGAAUUCCUAGUGUAGCGGUGAAAUGCGUAGAUACUAGGAGGAACACCAGUGGCGAAGGCGGCCUGCUGGACGAUAACUGACGUUGAGGCUCGAAAGCGUGGGGAGCAAACAGG
This 253-nucleotide ribosomal RNA is filed under the name uncultured bacterium. Its description in RNAcentral is "partial 16S ribosomal RNA". It matches the Rfam family "Bacterial small subunit ribosomal RNA", at positions 524 to 776 of the family's 1533-position model. The record is from RNAcentral.